Long non-coding RNA from Gallus gallus (chicken), 697 nucleotides. The record is from Ensembl. Lineage: Eukaryota; Metazoa; Chordata; Aves; Galliformes; Phasianidae.
CCUGAAGUGAAACCAGGGCAACUUUACUGACGUCUUCAGAAGUGAACUCAGAUUUACAAUGAACCUUAUGAAUUCGGAGUACAGCCAUACUGGAAUAUUGUUCCAAGCACACCAGGAAGGCUUUUGUAAAGAAAACAUGUUGCUCUGCAAAUAGAAUUUGUAGUCAACUUUUGCCAGAAUUUCAUCCAUGGCCUAAAUGUUCAGCCAAGGUAAAUGAGCACAAUUCCAUGAUGCCAGCAUGGACUUCAGCCCCUUAAUAUCUUCCAUGGGACUGUGGCAGUAUUUGCAGAACUGCCGUCUCUUCAAAGCAGAUGUUGAAACAGCUUGCAAAACUACUAGGUGUCAGAGAUGGAUGUUGAUGGUAUGGCAGUAAAAGUUGAACAACCCCAUCAAUAUUUGGUUACAUUUAGUUGCUAUGCAACAGAUGGCAGCAGAAGGGCAGUCUGACAGAACAGUGUCUGACAUGGAAGUGAGUAUAAAGCAUGAAGACAUCCAUCAUGAGUUGGGAGCAACAUAUCCACUAGUGGAAGACCCACUGCUUCCAGCUCAGUGCUCUUGUCAUUCAUCUUGAAUGUCACAGUGCAACACAACUUCCACCCUUCCACUGCUGGAACUGCUGUCCAAGGUACUCACAGACAUGUCCAGGGAGAGGACGUGUUGCACAGCAGGGUGUGCUGCCCUGUUCACCUGCUGUUCU